RNAcentral lists this long non-coding RNA (988 nucleotides) under Fragaria vesca (wild strawberry). Its description in RNAcentral is "long non-coding RNA (FVES_LNC005154)". Lineage: Eukaryota; Viridiplantae; Streptophyta; Magnoliopsida; Rosales; Rosaceae. The record is from RNAcentral.
AAAUUCAAACUUAUCCUUCUCAAAUCUAAGGCUUUAGAUUAUUUUGUCUUUAUUGUAUAAAAAUAUUUUGAAACCAUAUUUUUCAUUAUGUCCAUGCUUAAAUUUAAACACUUAAUAUAAUGUGAAAUAUAUAUAUGUUUAAAAUUAUACUUAUUCAAAAAUAUGAAUUCAAUAAAAUAUAUAUAUAUAUAUAUAUAUAUUCAUCCGGAUUUGAUAUAAGUUUUUCUACUUUGUAUUUUGUAUUUUAUGUUUAUAAGUUUUUCUAUAUUCAUCCGGAUUUGAUAUAAGUUUUUCUAUUUUGUAUUUUGUAUUUUGUAUUUUAUGUUUUUCUACAAAUUCAUUAUCAACAAAGCAUAUCUUUAAAAAAUAACGAUAAUUUAUCUCCUAAACAUAAAUUAGAGAAAUUAGACAAUACAUAAAACAUAAAUAAAAAAGAAAUUAGACAAUAAAAAUAAAAUCACAUUAACAAAAAAUUAAAUUAAUAAACAAAAAAUUCUUCGUCAGAAAUUUUCUAAAGUCUGGAAUUUACCGACAAAUUAUUUCCAGGCACCGAUCUGCUCACAACAUUCAAUUCCCAACACCUAAAACACCAGAUUUGAUUUUCCUCCAAAUUAUUCUCAACUUUAAAUCCUUGACUCUCUAAUCAUCCAAUUCCUACCCGCUUCAAUUUUUCCAAGCUCAAAUCUACUCAAAAUUGUACACACACUCCCAAUUUGGAAAACCAAAUCUUAACAAAAAACAAUAAACCUACAUCAAAUUUACAUAUAAACACACACAAAAAUAUUACAGAAAGAGAAAAAUAGUACGUACCUGAGAUAGAGAGAGAAAGACAACACCGGAAACAAUGGCCCGGAGAGGGAGGAGACCGGCCGGGAGAGGGAGAGGGAGGAGGGAGGAGACCGGGAGAGGGAGGGAGGGAGGGAGGGAGGGAGGGAGGGAGGGAGGAGGGAGGAGGCCGGCCGGGAGAGGGAGAGGGAGGAGGGAGAGG